Molecule: microRNA precursor, 59 nt
Filed under: Macaca mulatta (Rhesus monkey)
Lineage: Eukaryota; Metazoa; Chordata; Mammalia; Primates; Cercopithecidae
Description: Mml-Novel-18_pre stem-loop
Source: RNAcentral
AGUUUUAUCAUACAUGGAUAAUUUGCAUUAUGAGUUUUAUCCACAUAUGAUAAAACUCU